GAUGAACGCUGGCGGCGUGCCUAAUACAUGCAAGUCGAGCGAACAGACGAGGAGCUUGCUCCUCUGACGUUAGCGGCGGACGGGUGAGUAACACGUGGAUAACCUACCUAUAAGACUGGGAUAACUUCGGGAAACCGGAGCUAAUCCCGGAAAAUUUUUUGAACCCCUGGGUCAAUUAGUAAAAGAGGUUUUUGUUGUCCUUUAUAGUUGAUCCCCCCCCCAUUUACCAGUUUGUUAGGUAACGGGUUACCAAGGCAAACAUGGGUAGCCCACCUGGGAGGGGGAUAGGGCCCACUGGGACUGGGACACGGUCCAGAAUCCUACGGGAGGGAGCAGUAGGGAAACUUCCGCAAUGGGCGAAAGCCUGACGGAGCAACGCCGCGUGAGUGAUGAAGGUCUUCGGAUCGUAAAACUCUGUUAUUAGGGAAGAACAAAUGUGUAAGUAACUAUGCACGUCUUGACGGUACCUAAUCAGAAAGCCACGGCUAACUACGUG
Molecule: ribosomal RNA, 496 nt
Filed under: uncultured bacterium
Lineage: Bacteria
Description: partial 16S ribosomal RNA
Rfam family: Bacterial small subunit ribosomal RNA
Source: RNAcentral